Molecule: ribosomal RNA, 468 nt
Filed under: uncultured bacterium
Lineage: Bacteria
Description: partial 16S ribosomal RNA
Rfam family: Bacterial small subunit ribosomal RNA
Source: RNAcentral
GACGAACGCUGGCGGCGUGCCUAACACAUGCAAGUCGAACGGAAAGGUCCGGCCUUUGUGGGGUGCUCGAGGGGCGAACGGGUGAGUAACACGUGAGUACCGUGUACCUCACCUUGGGAUAUCCUCAUGCAACUGGGGCUCAUACCGGAUAGGAGCUACCGCCGCUGGGUGGGGGCGGGAAAGUUUCGGCGGUUGGGGGUGGAAACGCGGCUUAUCAGCUUGGUGGUGGGGUAGUGGAUUACCAAGGUCUGGCGCGGUAGCCGGCCUGGGAGGGUCGCCGGCCACGUUGGGACUGGAAUGCGGCCCAGACUCCUACGGGAGGCAGCGGUGGAGAGUGUUACACAAUGGGCGGGGGCCAGAUGCGACAACGCAGCGUGCGGGAUGACGGCAUUCGGGUUGUGAUCCGCUUUCGCCUGUGACGAGGCGUGAGUGACGGUAACGGGUGAAGAAGCACCGGCUAACUACGUG